This 500-nucleotide ribosomal RNA is filed under the name uncultured bacterium. Its description in RNAcentral is "partial 16S ribosomal RNA". It matches the Rfam family "Bacterial small subunit ribosomal RNA", at positions 29 to 523 of the family's 1533-position model. The record is from RNAcentral.
AUUGAACGCUGGCGGCAUGCCUUACACAUGCAAGUCGAACGGCAGCACGGGAGCAAUCCUGGUGGCGAGUGGCGGACGGGUGAGUAAUGUAUCGGAACGUGCCCAGUCGGGGGGGAUGACGUAGCGAAAGCUACGCUAAUACCGCAUAAGAUCUGUGGAUGAAAGCGGGGGACCGUAAGGCCUCGGCCGAUUGGAGCGGCCGAUACCAGAUUAGGUAGUUGGGGGGGUAAAGGCCUACCAAGCCGAAGAUCUGUAGCUGGUCUGAGAGGACGACCAGCCACACUGGGCCUGAGACACGGCCCAGACUCCUACGGGAGGCAGCAGUGGGGAAUUUUGGACAAUGGGCGCAAGCCUGAUCCAGCAAUGCCGCGUGCAGGAUGAAGGCCUUCGGGUUGUAAACUGCUUUUGUACGGAGCGAAAAGGCUCUCUCUAAUACAGGGGGCUCAUGACGGUACCGUAAGAAUAAGCACCGGCUAACUACGUGCCAGCCGCCGCCGUAA